UGUGUUUUGUGAAUACUGAAGGGCUUGAUUCUGUUUCAUGUAUUUCCUUUAGCAGUUCAAAAUUAAUUUAGGUUGUUUGAAAUGUGCUUGACUGACAAUUUUAGAAACUGAAUUCUUGUGUUUAAUCUCAGACUGAGUCUGACACAAGGCAGCCACUCAGCUGUAUUAGAGAGGAAACUUUGCUAAUCUGAGGGUGUUGAAUCUAUAAGCAGAGAUGGAGUGCCAUUAUCCUUCAAAGUGCACAUGGAAUAGAUAACAGAAGCCAUGUCAGCAGCAUUGAAACAUUAAUGAACAGAAUGAAGUAAAUUUAUGUUCCAGAAGCUGUGGGUCCUCUUCUGCAACCUGUCCACAAGAGCUCAGUAAUAGAGUGGAUUGGUUUGUGGCCAUGGUGUUAACUGAGAAAAGGACAACUUUGCAAUGGAUUUGGUUCAGCUGCACUGGUUUACCUGAGGUGGAUGAAGUGUUGUGCUGAGGUAUCUAAUUUUCUGUAAGACACAUUUGAAUCCAGUCAGAGCCCAAAGUGGAUGAGGCCAAAGAGGUCUUCACUGUCAUUACUAUAUGGGAUCCCAAUCCUCUUUGCUAUUAAGGGAAUAGAGAGAUGUGUGGGAAGCAAUGGACAGCUGGCAGAGGUGCCGUUUUCUACUUGGAGAAAGGGUUCAUAUCUCUUUGAUAUAGCCUUGGAUAAUAUUCCUGUCAUAUUGUGGGAGUCAGCAACAGAGAAAAGAGAGUUUCAGGUUUUGUGAAUUGUCAUUCAUCAGUCAGUAGGCAACACAGCUGAGUUUAUGCAGUAACUCAAA
Non-coding RNA from Lonchura striata (white-rumped munia), 797 nucleotides. NCBI's taxonomy places the organism in Eukaryota, Metazoa, Chordata, Aves, Passeriformes, Estrildidae. The record is from RefSeq and is a predicted model, not a curated record.